GACAGAGGGUGCAAACGUUGCUCGGAAUCACUGGGCGUAAAGGGCGUGUAGGCGGGAGGGAAAGUCAGAUGUGAAAUCCCCAGGCUCAACCUGGGAACUGCAUUUGAAACUCCCCUUCUUGAGUAUCGGAGAGGAAAGCGGAAUUCCUGGUGUAGAGGUGAAAUUCGUAGAUAUCAGGAGGAACACCUGUGGCGAAAGCGGCGCACUGGACCACAACUGACGCUGAGGCGCGAAAGCUAGGGGAGCAAACAGG
This 253-nucleotide ribosomal RNA is filed under the name uncultured bacterium. RNAcentral's name for it is "partial 16S ribosomal RNA". It matches the Rfam family "Bacterial small subunit ribosomal RNA", at positions 524 to 776 of the family's 1533-position model. The record is from RNAcentral.